Long non-coding RNA from Trachemys scripta elegans, 865 nucleotides. RefSeq lists it as uncharacterized. The record is from RefSeq and is a predicted model, not a curated record. NCBI's taxonomy places the organism in Eukaryota, Metazoa, Chordata, Testudines, Emydidae. The transcript is spliced from 3 exons.
UUUAUUAUCAUUACGAAAGAGCUGGCACAUAAAUACUUCCAAUAUAUCUCUUUGGAGAGAGAUUUGCUUAGCCUUUGAGCUGGGUAUGUGUUACGUGUUUUUGGGGAUGUGGUUUCGAGGAGUUUUUCAUUUGCUUUAGCCAUAGGGACAAAUAAUAGGUUUGUGAAUGUUUUCCCCCUACUUUCUAAAAGCCUGAGGAUUAGUAUUUCUGCAAUGUUCAGAUGCCUUUUAACUCAAAGGAACAGUUUACGAUACAAGUAUAUUAAAUGUGCUAUGAACUUCCUGACAUAAACAUGCAGAAAUGGUCUCCUGAGGGACAAAAUAAUAAUAAUGAGGAACUAAUUGAGUUGGAAGUAUCUAUUGUUUUUGUCAUGAUGAAUUCUCUACUGUGGAUAGAGAGAAGACCAUUAAACUUGUAUUUCAUUAAAGAUUUCAGAGCUGAUUUUUAAACCAAAGUAGACUGCUUAUUUUGAAUGUCUAUACAAAUAAACUCUCUUAUUUCACAAAUACCUGUUCUUAAACAGACACAAGAAUAUCCAACAGUGAUUAUUUAUUUUAAGACAGAAAAAGCAUUAAGUACUUGCUGGUCUUAAUAGCACCCGUGAAUGGAAUUGCAGUGGAGAUACCUGCUUCGUAUGGAAUGACUAUUUGUUGAAAGGGGGAGGCAGCCCAUUCCAUUCGCUAGAGUAGAGAAUUAAGAGUCAGAAGACCUGGGUUCUCUUCCUGCUCUGCCAUUGACUUAUUGAGGAAAACCUGGGCAAAUGGCUUAAACUCCGUACCCCCAACUUCCUCAUUUUUAAAAAAGGUAAUAACAAUACUCACUUGCCUUUGUAAAAGGACAUGAGAUCCUCCAGAGAAAAAAUAU